Non-coding RNA from Trichuris trichiura (human whipworm), 72 nucleotides. NCBI's taxonomy places the organism in Eukaryota, Metazoa, Nematoda, Enoplea, Trichinellida, Trichuridae. The record is from Rfam.
GGGUUAGUGGUCUAGUGGUAUGAUUCUCGCUUCGGGUGCGAGAGGUCCGGGGUUCGAUUCCCCGGUAACCCC